CUGCCGACUGUGAAGGUCUGCCGCAGCUGAUCUGGAAUGAAAACAGUCCUGGGAAGAGAAUUCGAACGCAACGUUGAAUACAUUUAAAAAUGUUAUUCAAAUGACUGCAGAAAGUUCGGUUUCAUGAAAUUAGAACAACUGGGAGCCUGGAACGACACUUCACAUUUCUUGUUUUACAAGGAGGAGCUGGGCUGAACCUACCCACUUCUCAGAGGCCUAACAUUGCAAGUCCCAUUGUGGAUUUAACUGGAAUGGGAGCUGCCAAUGUCCGGUUCUGCUGAAAUGUGAGAGGCUGG
This 296-nucleotide long non-coding RNA is filed under the name Cricetulus griseus (Chinese hamster). RNAcentral describes it as "lncRNA (ENSCGRG00015038264.1)". Lineage: Eukaryota; Metazoa; Chordata; Mammalia; Rodentia; Cricetidae. The record is from RNAcentral.